GCCCAACUGGCUCAGUCAGAGGAGCAUGCGACUCUUGAUCUCAGAGUCAUAAGUUCAAGCCCCGUGUUGGGUG
Molecule: transfer RNA, 73 nt
Filed under: Canis lupus familiaris (dog)
Lineage: Eukaryota; Metazoa; Chordata; Mammalia; Carnivora; Canidae
Also listed under: 1 other name
Rfam family: tRNA
About the family: Transfer RNA (tRNA) molecules are approximately 80 nucleotides in length. Their secondary structure includes four short double-helical elements and three loops (D, anti-codon, and T loops). Further hydrogen bonds mediate the characteristic L-shaped molecular structure. tRNAs have two regions of fundamental functional importance: the anti-codon, which is responsible for specific mRNA codon recognition, and the 3' end, to which the tRNAs corresponding amino acid is attached (by aminoacyl-tRNA synthetases). tRNAs cope with the degeneracy of the genetic code in two manners: having more than one tRNA (with a specific anti-codon) for a particular amino acid; and 'wobble' base-pairing, i.e. permitting non-standard base-pairing at the 3rd anti-codon position.
Source: Rfam by way of RNAcentral